RNAcentral lists this ribosomal RNA (490 nucleotides) under uncultured bacterium. Its description in RNAcentral is "partial 16S ribosomal RNA". It matches the Rfam family "Bacterial small subunit ribosomal RNA", at positions 30 to 507 of the family's 1533-position model. The record is from RNAcentral.
AUUGAACGCUGGCGGCAGGCCUAACACAUGCAAGUCGAACGGUAACAGGAAGCAGCUUGCUGCUUUGCUGACGAGUGGCGGACGGGUGAGUAAUGUCUGGGAAACUGCCCGAUGGAGGGGGAUAACUACUGGAAACGGUAGCUAAUACCGCAUAACGUCGCAAGACCAAAGAGGGGGACCUUAGGGCCUCUUGCCAUCGGAUGUGCCCAGAUGGGAUUAGCUAGUAGGUGGGGUAACGGCUCACCUAGGCGACGAUCCCUAGCUGGUCUGAGAGGAUGACCAGCCACACUGGAACUGAGACACGGUCCAGACUCCUACGGGAGGCAGCAGUGGGGAAUAUUGCACAAUGGGCGCAAGCCUGAUGCAGCCAUGCCGCGUGUAUGAAGAAGGCCUUCGGGUUGUAAAGUACUUUCAGCGGGGAGGAAGGGAGUAAAGUUAAUACCUUUGCUCAUUGACGUUACUCGCAGAAGAAGCACCGGCUAACUCCGUG